AUUGAACGCUGGCGGCAUGCUUUACACAUGCAAGUCGAACGGCAGCGGAGAGUGCUUGCCCUCUGCCGGCGAGUGGCGAACGGGUGAGUAACAUAUUGGAACGUACCGAGUAAAGGGGGAUAACUAUCCGAAAGGAUAGCUAAUACCGCAUACGCUUUGAGAAGGAAAGUGGGGGAUCUUCGGACCUCACGUUAUUCGAGCGGCCAAUAUCUGAUUAGCUAGUUGGUGGGGUAAAGGCCUACCAAGGCGACGAUCAGUAGCGGGUCUGAGAGGACGAUCCGCCACACUGGGACUGAGACACGGCCCAGACUCCUACGGGAGGCAGCAGUGGGGAAUUUUGGACAAUGGGCGCAAGCCUGAUCCAGCCAUGCCGCGUGUCUGAAGAAGGCCUUCGGGUUGUAAAGGACUUUUGUUAGGGAAGAAAAGAAAUGGGUUAAUACCCCAUUUUGCUGACGGUACCUAAAGAAUAAGCACCGGCUAACUACGUG
RNAcentral lists this ribosomal RNA (488 nucleotides) under uncultured bacterium. RNAcentral describes it as "partial 16S ribosomal RNA". It matches the Rfam family "Bacterial small subunit ribosomal RNA", at positions 30 to 507 of the family's 1533-position model. The record is from RNAcentral.